UGUACGACAGCGGAACAUUUUCUCCCACAGUGUUGUCGUACAGGGAGACCACCUUGGACACCUAACGCUGACUUCGUCCGCCUGAUUGGUGGAUCGUGAGGGGGCGGUUGCUAGUGGCUGCCUGAGAGUUGAGGGUGAGGGCACAAUUUCCUCCAUAAACAGUGAAACGGAAGGAAGCGAACUGUGCCGAGGAGCAGUUGAGCCAGUGAGACGCCGGUAAAGGCGGAAGUGGUUGGAGACAUGAGCGGCAUAUUUAAAAACAAGAUAUUCAUGGUUAAAACUUUGGUUUAUAACGAUCAGAGACAUCUGACAGAUGAAUUUCCCUCUAAGUCACGUUUGUCAACUGGAGGUCGGAUGCGUGGAAAGACUGCGAAGAUGGGGAAACCUAAAGAUCUGAAGAAAGCUGCGGCGGGCAGGCGCAACUGUGUUGUGAAUGAGUCGGAGUGGGGAGAGUCGGACCUAAUUGAUGGCGAUGACAGUAUGGAGUUGAGCCAAUGAAGCGAGAGAAUGAGGGAGAAAAGAGGAAAAGAUUUUGGAGGGGCCAGACCAAAGAAAAUCAAGGGUAGUGGAGAUCAUGGGGGAGGAAUAGAGAAGAGAACUCAGGAGGAGGUGGAAUUUAAAAUCAUUUUGAGAUUCGGCUUGGAGCGGGGAAUUUCUUCAAUGAAUCCGGUUAAAUUGACAACUGUUUUGAGGAACCAGAUAGGAGAUGUACAUAUGGCUAAGGUGUUGAAUGAUGGUAAUUUGUUGAUUAUUUGUAGAAAUGAGGAGCAUAGAGAGUGGGCUGAGAGGACGAAAGAGAUAGGGCGAUUUAUAGUGAUAAAUACAAGCCGUAUUGAAAGAGGAAAUACGUGGAGUAAGGGAUUGAUUUGGGGGGUACCAGUCGGGGUCACUAUGGAGGAAAUUAAAUCAAACCUGAAAGGAGGAAUUAUAAAAGAUGCCCGUCGGUUGCAGGUAACUCAAGAGGGAGUGUGGAAAGAUAGUGAGCAAAUUGUGAUUGAGUUUGGGGAGGAAGUGCUCCCGCAGAAGGUGACUCUAGGAUUUAUUGAGUUACAGUGUUAGAGAGUAUGUACCAAAAACCAAUGAGGUGUUACAACUUUCAAAGGUUUGGUCAUGCAGCUAAGACAUGUAAGGGCAAGAGAAGAUGUGCCAGAUGUGGAGAGGAUCAUGAGUACGGGCAAUGUAAUCAGGUGCAACCAAGAUGUUGCAACUGUGGUGGAAAUCACAGUGUGGCUUAUGGGGGAUGUGAGGUAAUGAAAAGAGAAAUGGAAAUACAGCAGGUAUGAGUUCAGAGUAAGCUAACGUAUGCAGAGGCUGUGAAGAUGGUGAGUCAGGGGGGAGGAGUGGACGAGAGGAGAAGACUAGGAAAACAACCCACAACAGAACCAGUCCAGACAAAUGAGGGUCAACCUAAAGAAGCUCGUCAUUUUCAUUGCAGGGGUAGUGAACGCUACAAUGGAGCUCCUCCCAGCCCUCCAUGCCCGUGCACGCUACCAUGGCAACCGAAGCCAGGCAAGAGCUUUGAGACUGGUACACCGGACUCAGAUGAGGAAGUGAAACCGGCUGCUUCGACGAGCAGUCGAGCGAGGAGGAGAGGGAGUCGCAUACGAGCAGGCGCACCGGGCAGCGGCCGUGGGAGACGGGGCAGAGGUCGGAGUGUUGGCCCGACACCGAGCACCUGGGAGCCGAAGACACGAUCUUCAUGUGAUGAGCCAGUUGGUCCCUGCCACUUGCACUGGUUUCAUCCCAAGAUGGUUUAGCUUCAGACUGUGCUAUAUGUAAAUACUGUGUUGU
Molecule: long non-coding RNA, 1791 nt
Organism: Scophthalmus maximus (turbot)
Lineage: Eukaryota; Metazoa; Chordata; Actinopteri; Pleuronectiformes; Scophthalmidae
Exons: 3
Source: RefSeq, a predicted model, not a curated record